This 523-nucleotide ribosomal RNA is filed under the name uncultured bacterium. RNAcentral describes it as "bacterial SSU rRNA". It matches the Rfam family "Bacterial small subunit ribosomal RNA", at positions 524 to 1050 of the family's 1533-position model. The record is from RNAcentral.
UACGGAGGAUCCGAGCGUUAUCCGGAUUUAUUGGGUUUAAAGGGUGCGUAGGCGGGAUAAUAAGUCAGUGGUGAAAGUUUGCAGCUUAACUGUAAAAUUGCCGUUGAAACUGUUAUUCUUGAGAGUAGAUAAGGUAGGCGGAAUGUGUUGUGUAGCGGUGAAAUGCAUAGAUAUAACACAGAACCCCGAUUGCGAAGGCAGCUUACCGGGCUACAUCUGACGCUGAUGCACGAAAGCGUGGGGAUCAAACAGGAUUAGAUACCCUGGUAGUCCACGCAGUAAACGAUGAAUACUAGCUGUAUGCGAUAUACUGUAUGUGGCAAAGCGAAAGCAUUAAGUAUUCCACCUGGGGAGUACGUUCGCAAGAAUGAAACUCAAAGGAAUUGACGGGGGCCCGCACAAGCGGAGGAACAUGUGGUUUAAUUCGAUGAUACGCGAGGAACCUUACCCGGGCUUGAAAUGCAAUCGACGGUAUUGGAAACAUUACUUCCAGCAAUGGCGAUUGUGUAGGUGCUGCAUGGUU